RNAcentral lists this ribosomal RNA (439 nucleotides) under uncultured bacterium. RNAcentral describes it as "partial 16S ribosomal RNA". It matches the Rfam family "Bacterial small subunit ribosomal RNA", at positions 338 to 795 of the family's 1533-position model. The record is from RNAcentral.
CCUACGGGUGGCAGCAGUAGGGAAUAUUGCUCAAUGGGGGAAACCCUGAUGCAGCGAUGCCGCGUGAAUGAAGACGGCCUUCGGGUUGUAGAGCUCUGUCGCAGGGGACGAAAAUGACUGUACCCUGCAAGAAAGCUCCGGCUAACUACGUUCCAGCAGCGGCGGUAAUACGUAGGGAGCAAGCGUUGUCCGGAUUUACUGGGGGUAAAGGGAGCGUAGGCGGGUGGAUAAGAUGGAUGUGAAAUCUAUGGGCUCAACCCAUAGCUGCGUUCAAAACUGUUCUUCUUGAGUGAAGUAGAGGCAGGCGGAAUUCCUAGUGUAGCGGUGAAAUGCGUAGAUAUUAGGAGGAACACCAGUGGCGAAGGCGGCCUGCUGGGCUUUUACUGACGCUGAGGCUCGAAAGCGUGGGUAGCAAACAGGAUUAGAUACCCGUGUAGUC